GACGAACGCUGGCGGCGUGCUUAACACAUGCAAGUCGAACGGAAAGGCCCUGCUUUUGUGGGGUGCUCGAGUGGCGAACGGGUGAGUAACACGUGGGUAACCUGCCCUUGACUUUGGGAUAACUUCAGGAAACUGGGGCUAAUACCGGAUAGGAGCUCCUGCUGCAUGGUGGGGGUUGGAAAGUUUCGGCGGUUGGGGAUGGACGCGCGGGUUAUCAGCUUGUUGGUGGGGUAGUGGCUUACCAAGGCAUUGACGGGUAGCCGGCCUGGGAGGGUGACCGGCCACAUUGGGACUGAGAUACGGCGCAGACGCCUACGGGAGGCAGCGGUGGGGAGUAUUACACAAUGGGCGGAAGCCUGAUGCAGCAACGCCGCGUGCGGGAUGACGGCCUUCGGGUUGUGAACCGCUUUCGCCUGUGACGAAGCGUGAGUGACGGUAAUGGGUAAAGAAGCACCGGCUAACUACGUG
RNAcentral lists this ribosomal RNA (468 nucleotides) under uncultured bacterium. RNAcentral describes it as "partial 16S ribosomal RNA". It matches the Rfam family "Bacterial small subunit ribosomal RNA", at positions 28 to 507 of the family's 1533-position model. The record is from RNAcentral.